GAGCGGCGGACGGGUGAGUAACGCGUACGAAACCUACCUUUAAGAGAGGGAUAGCCCUGGGAAACUGGGAGUAAUACCUCAUAGUAUUCAUUGACCGCAUGGUUGAUGGAUUAAAGCUGCGGCGCUUAAAGAUGGUCGUGCGUCUGAUUAGCUAGUUGGUAGGGUAACGGCCUACCAAGGCUACGAUCAGUAGGGGGCGUGAGAGCGUGGCCCCCCACACGGGUACUGAGACACGGACCCGACUCCUACGGGAGGCAGCAGUAAGGAAUAUUGGGCAAUGGACGCAAGUCUGACCCAGCCAUCCCGCGUGCAGGACGAAUGCCCUAUGGGUUGUAAACUGCUUUUGUUUGGGAAGAAAUGUAUUCUUUUAAGAGUAUUUGACGGUACCAGACGAAUAAGCACCGGCUAACUCCGUGCCAGCAGCCGCGGUAAUACGGAGGGUGCAAGCGUUAUCCGGAAUCACUGGGUUUAAAGGGUGCGUAGGCGGCCAUAUAAGUCAGAGGUGAAAGUUUCCGGCUCAACCGGGAGAUUGCCUUUGAUACUGUUUGGCUUGAAUCAGAUUGAGGUUGGCGGAAUGUGACAUGUAGUGGUGAAAUGUAUAGAUAUGUCAUAGAAUAUUGACUGUGAAGGUAGCUGGCUGGAUCUGUAUUGACGCUGAGGCACGAAAGCGUGGGGAGUAAAUAGGAUUAGAUAUCCUGGUAGUCCACGUCUUAAACGAUGUUUACUCGACAUGGGAUCUAUGGAUUCUGUGUCCAAGCGAAAGCGUUAAGUAAACCACCUGGGGAGUACGUUCGUAAGAAUGAAACUCAAAGGAAUUGACGGGGGUCCGCACAAGUGGUGGAGCAUGUGGUUUAAUUCGAUAUGUGAGGAAUUUUACCUGGGCUAGAAUGUGAGUGCCUGUGUGUGAAAGUAUAUAUUUUUUUGGGAUAUAAAGUAAGGUGCUGUAUGGCUGUCGUCAGCUCGUGUUGUGAGGUGUUGGGUUAAGUUUUGUAACGAGCGUAAUCCCUAUCUUCAGUUGUUAGUAUUUAAGGUGGGGAUUUUGAAGAGAUUGUUGGUGUAAGUUGUGAGGAAGGUGGGGAUGAUGUUAAGUCAUUAUGGUUUUUAUGCCCAGGGUUAUACACGUGCUACAAUGGCCGGUAUAAUGGGUUGUGAAGCUGUGAAGCGGAGUUAAUUCUAUAAAGCCGGUCUCAGUUCGGAUUGGAGUCUGGAAUUUGACUCCAU
Molecule: ribosomal RNA, 1221 nt
Filed under: metagenome
Description: bacterial SSU rRNA
Rfam family: Bacterial small subunit ribosomal RNA
Source: RNAcentral